This 378-nucleotide ribosomal RNA is filed under the name uncultured bacterium. Its description in RNAcentral is "bacterial SSU rRNA". It matches the Rfam family "Bacterial small subunit ribosomal RNA", at positions 30 to 410 of the family's 1533-position model. The record is from RNAcentral.
AUUGAACGCUGGCGGCAUGCCUUACACAUGCAAGUCGAACGGCAGCACGGGGCAACCUGGUGGCGAGUGGCGAACGGGUGAGUAAUGCAUCGGAACGUGCCAUUGAGUGGGGGAUAACGUAGCGAAAGUUGCGCUAAUACCGCAUAUUCUGUGAGCAGGAAAGCAGGGGACCGCAAGGCCUUGCGCUCUUUGAGCGGCCGAUGUCAGAUUAGCUAGUUGGUGAGGUAACGGCUUACCAAGGCGACGAUCUGUAGCGGGUCUGAGAGGAUGAUCCGCCACACUGGAACUGAGACACGGUCCAGACUCCUACGGGAGGCAGCAGUGGGGAAUUUUGGACAAUGGGCGCAAGCCUGAUCCAGCCAUGCCGCGUGAGUGAAG